GGCGGCGGGCCCGGUGGGAGAUGAGGGGUUUUGGUUUUGUGGAGAAGAUAAAAGAUCAAGAUUAUUGGGAGAGUUAUUGAGAAUAGGAGUAUCAUUGUGAUUUGUUCUUCUUUCAACAAAUCGCGCAAGGUUUCUAGAGCCAUCGACACCACUGCUUCUGCCAUUGCAACAAUUUGAGGGAAUUCAAGCUCAGAUUUCUUUGCCUUAAUUGAUUGGUGGAACAGUGUUGAUUUGGUAGUGGUGAGAGUGAAGGAAAUUAGUGAAGGAGAAAGGAUAAGGAGCAUGUGGUCGUAAUUGUGGGGAUGGUGGGUACAACUACCCUUCCAAAUGGGAUCAUCUGUCCCAAAAUAUAGUGUGUAUCACGUGUGCCACUGUUUAUUUCUUUAUAUUUUUAAAUUAUUUUUUAUUCAAUUUUAAUUUAUUAUGGUUUUAUAUAAUAUAAAGAUAAUUAACAAGGGUUCAUUCAUCCAUUUAGGGUUUAUAAUUAUUUUUUAUAUUUAUUUGAAUUAAUAAUAGAUUAUUUGGGUUCAUUAAUUCAAAGUUAGGGUAUAUAUAAUUUUUUAAGUUUUAAUUUUUCAAUGAUAAAUACUAAUUAGAGUUUAUAAUAUAAUAAUAAUUUUUAUUUUUAUAAAAAAUAAUUUAUAAAACAGAGAAAUAAAGAGUGGUACAUGUGGUACACACAAUAUUCUGGGACAGAUAUUAGGGGCAGUCAUGAUAUUUCGAGGGCCUUAAGUGAAAAAGAAAAAGUUUGCUCUUUAACACCGUUGAUAUUGAGCACAUAUCAACGGUGUAACACCAAGACCAAACAUGCCCCAUCCUUAAUUAGUAAUGAACUCUAGAUACUAUAACUUUGAUGAGGUAUGUUUUGUUUGGCUUUUCAGCUUAGAGAUGGAGAUUUGGGGAUUAAACUACAUCUCUCAAUAACACACAGGUCACUUGAUAUUAAAAUGGAUCAUGAAUAUUCUCGACAUCGUCUUCCUCGACUAUAUUUAAUUUCUCGAUAUCAUCAUAUUAUGUGAUUUUUUUCAAAUGGAUUAAAUUUGCAUAAGCUAAGUUAAUCAGAUUGGGGCUUUUGAGUUUGAUUUUGUAACAUGAAAUUAAAGUGGUGUUAAGCCUUGUAAUUUGUGGGCCGAAUUUAUGUUUGUUGGAUCUCUUAAUUAAAGAAUGGGUCCAUUUUAGAGGGAGUGGAAGAGAGGGAAUGAAAUUGGGCUGGACUCAUCUUUGCAAUUGGGCUGAUAAAUGAAAGUAUGACUAAUUCUGUCAGCACCUAUUUUACUUAGGGUACGUUUAUUUUGGUUGUAAAAGAUGAAAAAAUAUUAUAUUUUUCUUCUAUUUUUUAUUAUAUAUUUACUAGAGAUGAAAAGAUAAAAAAAUGUUAAAAAAUAUUUUCACACCCCUACUAUAAGAUAAUAUAAUCCAACAUUAAAGUAUAAAGGAGUGAAAAGAAGCAACCCGAAAAAAUAUUCCACCAUAUCCGGAGAAAAUUUUCCACCAUACUAAACAUGUGAAAAUGGUAGAUUAUGAGUGAAAAUAUAUUUUCUCUCUCAUUUUCCAUCAAUGUAAACGCACCCUUAGUACUAUGUUUACAGAAGUAUAUUUUCUGGGAUGCGUCAUAUAAACAUCGAGUACUGAUACAAUAUUUGGGGCAUUUUCGUUAAUCUUUUGGACCUUAACUCUCUCAUUCCAUUGCUCAAAUAAAGGUGAAGGUAUAUGUUGAAUUGGCAUUAUUAAGAAUUUUAUGUUUCUUUUUAUUAUGUUGACAUGGAAAAUUGAGUCUAAUGUUCGCCCUCUCUCCCUUCAACUGACCAUUUCCCUUGUUUUUUUCUCCUGUCUAAAAUUAAUAGAUUGAGUUGAAAAUUUUGAAACAUUAAUUACAAACAAUUAAUUCAAUUCCAAGAAUUUGAAUACAAUAGACUCAAUUAUGUUGACCGGAAAAGAGUCCAACUAAAGCAGCUUCAAAUCCUUCAACAAAAUCUUCAACAUAUAUAACCCAAUUUUUCUUGCUUAAUCAAUGGUAAAUUAAACCAUCAACAACCAAGCAACAAAAAUCACAAUUCAAGAACAGAAUUAUAUAGCUUAAAUCUUCAGAGUCGAAUCUCACCAAAACAGCUACAUAUGGAACUAAGCAAUAUUGUGCAGAAUCAUCAAAAUCAAACAGAUUAAUUAAUAACACAAGGAAUGAAAUAUGGGCACCACUCUGAUGUUAGGCUUGGAGCUGCGUACAAAAGAAGUAUAUCUUUAUAUGCACAUUUAUUGAAGAGAAAAGAGUGCAAAUAAUUAAAGAGAAAAGUACCCUGCAACCAAGAGAAAGAUGGUACAAGCUUUAGAAUGGGUCGAGCUUUAUUAAAACCUUAUCGAACUUUAUUUAAGAAUUGCGUAUUGAGAAUGAGAUUGGUGCAAGCAUUACCCGGGUGGAGACUAGACUAGUCAUUAGUGAAGGAUGAUAAUUGAAGGGACAUGGCUGACUUUAUCGAAAUCCUCUCCCGAUGCUGAUACCCUCUUUCCCAAUUCCGCCAUUCCAUAGAUUUUCAGUUUCCGAAGAGUAGAAAUGCCGCUCAAUCCAUCUGGAAGCAUCUCCAGAUGAGAACACUCAUGUAUUUGUACAGUAUAUUCGUAUAGUUAUAUUAAGCAAUACAGUUUCAAUUUAUUGGAUUCUAAACAACCAAGCAACAAAAAUCACAAUACAAGAACAAAAAUAAAGCUUAAAUCUGCAGAAGUUACAAGCAAAGGCUCAUGGGCCGAAUCUUACCAAAAUAACUCCAUGUGGAACUAAGCAAGUCUAGAAUAAAUUCUCCAGAUUAAUAAUACAUAAAGAAAUAUACACAUUUAUUUGAAAGAAAGUGAUUAAAGCGAGACAAGGUUGCAGAGAAAAGAAUGCAAAUAAUUAAAGAGAAACACUUGGGACAUGGAACAACAAGACUGUAGGUCGAAGGGGGGGAGAAAAGUACCUUGCAACAAAAACCAAGACGAUACAAGUUUAGAGAAAAACUACAAUUGAAGCUACAGAAUUGGGAAUUGAGAAUGAGAUUGGUGCAAGCAUUACCCGGGUGGAGACUAGAUUAGUUAGUCAUCAUCAAUAGUUUUGGAUGAUAAUUGAAGGGACAUGGCUGAUUUUGUGAAAAUCCUCUCCUGAUGCCGAUACCCUUUUUCCCAAUUCCGGCAUAUCAAUAAUUUCUAGUUCCUGAAGAGUGGAAAUGAGAUUCAAUCCAUCUGGAAGCAUCUCCAGAUUAGAACACUCAUCUAUUUGUAAAUGAGAGAGAAGGGGCAUGGCUCCUGCCUCCACUCUCCACUCCCUCAACUUUGGUAAUUGAGAUAGCCCAAGCCUCUUGAGACAACGAAAACUGUUUGAUGGACACGUCAUCUCCUCCCCCACAAAUGAUUUCAUCCAUAAAUACAACUCUAUCAAGCAAGGAAGGUUCCCCAGUAUCCCCAUUGGAUCAUCCUCAAUCUCACAUUCAUAUAGGUUCAAAGUUAUAAGUUUUGAACUGAUGAAGUCACUCCUACACUCUGCCAGCGCCUUCCCUAACUUAACUUGAAUCCACAAGGAAUGAAGAUUGGGACAUGUGAUUACCUUCUUCAGCGUUAACACUCCCUCAUUUGUUCCUAACUCGCAACCCUCUUUGAUUUCAACCAAACAAGACAGUAACUUUUCCAUGAGAGCAAUGGCGUCGAUGUUGGCUGACAAGCUUUCAUUGUCGUGUAUUUUUGUUUUGAAACUUCGCAGAUUCUUCAUUCUGUUCAUACAUUUUAUAUCAUGCACUCUACUAUCCAAAUUCCACAGGGUCUCCAACUCAAUCACUCCCUCGUCCAAUGUCAAUCGAUAACUUCCAAUUUUUUCCUCAUCAUAAUCGGGAAGAAACAAGUGCUUUAAACGUACCAUCUCCUUAAAAACAUUUGGAACUUCAAUAUUCUUCGAAAGACUUAAAUCAAGGGUAUCCAUGUAUACCAAAUUCCUUAUGGACGAUGGUAGCGUAUCAAAUUCACAUCUUUCUAAACACAAACGUCUAAGGUGAACAAGACUAGCGAUUCCUUUCGAUAACUUUCUUCCUUCAAAUUUGAAUCCCACCAUAACUAGAUCUCUCAGCAAUUUGAAUUUCUGAAAAUCAACGAUACCUUGCGGGGGAAACUCAACAACAACACCCGAAUUCAUGUGAUUAAACAUUUGAAGAGACCUUAAAUGUUCGCUACUAUCUUCUCCCCAAGUGACUGUAAGCUCGUCUGGUUCCACUUGAACUUCUUUCCUGAAAUGUAUAGCCAAAUGCCGUAUUUUCCUAUGCGAGGAAGCUUUCCCACUUUGAUACUCCAAACUCUGCACACCAAAAUCCUCACUUCUCCCCAAUUUCAAACAUAGUUCUCUUACUACAUCAUGAAGUUUGCACCUCCAAUAUCUUCUUCCAGGUGUGACACCAUCGUAAAUUUCGACUUGGACGAUGGACUUGGAGGCCAACUCACCCAAGUAGAGCUCUGCAAUUUCCAUCAAAGUUUUGUCCUUGUCUCCAAUAUUAUCAUAUGAAAUCAUGCCUUGUGCUAUCCACAUCCUAUAUAGAUUGUAAGCAUUUAUAUGUUCAUCCUCUUGAAAUAUACCCAUAUAGAGAAAGCAUGACUUCAAAUAAUAGGGUAGACUUUCGUAGCUUAAAUUUAGCACUCCAUCAAUCUCCUUUUCAUCUCUAUAUAUGAAUUCUUUGACUAACUCCCACUCCAUCAUCGAAUUUGUCUUUCUCAAGACCCCACCGAGUAAACAAAUUGCCAACGGCAAAUACCCACAUUUCUUCACCAUUUCUUUCCCAAUUUUCUCAAAAUUUUCUUCCAAUGCAAACUCUGCAUUGAAAAACAAAUGACAAUUACUUGAAUAGUAACUUUAUAACUUAAUCAUAUCCUCUCAUCUAAUUUGGAACCGAUGAUGCAAAAAAGAAACUACAAGCAGGUAAAUCUAGAAUAUUAUUUGUAGACUAGAAGUCAAAUCCAACUAACCUGGAAUGUUGGUGUGGGGAAAUGCUUUCUUCUUGAGUAGUUCCAAAGCAUCUUCCUCUUUUAGAAGCCCAAGUUUGACAGGGCAUCCAAUCUCCGCGACUUCCCGUUCGCGCGUGGUGAUCAAGAUUUUGCUCUGCAAAUCUUGGACAAGGAAGGGAUGCUUGAAGCCAUCCCAAUGAGAAGUUUCCCAAAGAUCGUCAAAAACAAUGAGGCAUCGCUUCUCUCUUUGUAUCUUGCAUAGUCGCUCAUUCAACUCCGACUCGCUCAGAUUUGCAACAACGUCCUCUCUUAUUUGUGGCCCAUCAUCGCUCACACCUUUCCUUGUUUGUGGCUCCAGCUGCUUGAGAACAUCCUUCCAAACUGAUUGAAAACUCUGACAUUGCUGACUAAUGCAAACCCAUGCGCAAAGAUCAAAGCUGGUGCUGUUCUCGUUGUAGAGCUUUUUGGCAAUGGUGGUCUUGCCUGAUCCCCCCAUUCCCCACACUGAAAUUACUCGAUGCUUUUUGUCUUCCACUAGGAGAUGAAGAAGCUGCUUGAGCUCGUCCUUCAUCCCCACAAAACAGUCUCCGAUCUCGAAUUCGGGGAAGCUCUUCCUUGCUCUGUUGUUGGCGGACGAGCUUUCCCCUUCAUCUGUAUUGUUGAUGAUGCUCUUCUUUAUGCCACUUUCUAACAUUUCCUUGUUUAUCCUUUCAAGUCGGGAUUUGAUCGGUGAAAUCUCCGAGCCUAAUUGGUGGAUCGACUUGUAUUCUUCCAAACUACAACUACAUCUUCGGAGGAGCUGUUUGAGGCCUCGUUUUCUCCUUGAAGUCACUUGAUAAGCUGCGUGUCUUUCAAUGGCAGCUUCGGCUCUGUACACAAGAUCUUUGAUCUCUGAGAUCCAAUUGAAAAUGGUUUCGCUUUCAUGUCGUCUUCUGUCGGCAUCUUUGAGAAGACACUUCAUCUCUUUGAGCUGGAUCUCGAGCUCCCUCACUUCGUCACCCACACCAGAUAAAAAUUUUACUUCUUCCUUCAACAAAUCGCGCAAGGUUUCUAGAGCCAUCGACACCACUGCUUCUGCCAUUGCAACAAUUUGAGGGAAUUCAAGCUCAGAUUUCUUUGGCUUAAUUGAUUGGUGGAACAGUGUUGAUUUGGUAGUGGUGAGAGUGAAGGAAAUUAGUGAAGGAAAAAGGA
Molecule: long non-coding RNA, 6141 nt
Filed under: Salvia miltiorrhiza (redroot sage)
Lineage: Eukaryota; Viridiplantae; Streptophyta; Magnoliopsida; Lamiales; Lamiaceae
Description: long non-coding RNA (SMIL_LNC008447)
Source: RNAcentral